Molecule: long non-coding RNA, 426 nt
Organism: Orcinus orca (killer whale)
Lineage: Eukaryota; Metazoa; Chordata; Mammalia; Artiodactyla; Delphinidae
Exons: 3
Source: RefSeq, a predicted model, not a curated record
GGAAGAUCAAGAAGAGACACUUGGAUCCCAGAGGGUCAAGUGUCACUGUGGUUCUUGAAGGAGAAUAAGACUGUGCACCAUUCACCUUCGGAUUCACAUAUUUUGGCACAGACCUUGGCCUACAGCAGGGGCUCAAAAGGUCUCAGAGGUAACACAAAAGGCUUAAAAUCUCCAAACCUGUCUCAUGCUGCUAUAUUGAAGAAUUGAUGCUUCCUUAAAAACUGUCUUUUUAUUGGAGAAGAGUGAUAUUUCCCCCAUUUUUUAGCAACUUUGUCUAGGUGUACUAAUUGCUAAUAUUAUACAAUUAGUAAUUCCUCAAGAAGACAUUUCAUUCAAAUAUACUGCUACCAAUAUUUACAGUGUAAUUAACUAUAGUGUAAAUCAACACAGCCUUCUCCAGAGCUCUUACUUGCCUCCUAUUUGCAC